RNAcentral lists this ribosomal RNA (578 nucleotides) under Enterococcus sp. M158. Its description in RNAcentral is "bacterial SSU rRNA". It matches the Rfam family "Bacterial small subunit ribosomal RNA", at positions 57 to 607 of the family's 1533-position model. Lineage: Bacteria; Bacillati; Bacillota; Bacilli; Lactobacillales; Enterococcaceae. The record is from RNAcentral.
GCAGUCGAACGCUUCUUUUUCCACCGGAGCUUGCUCCACCGGAAAAAGAGGAGUGGCGAACGGGUGAGUAACACGUGGGUAACCUGCCCAUCAGAAGGGGAUAACACUUGGAAACAGGUGCUAAUACCGUAUAACAAUCGAAACCGCAUGGUUUUGAUUUGAAAGGCGCUUUCGGGUGUCGCUGAUGGAUGGACCCGCGGUGCAUUAGCUAGUUGGUGAGGUAACGGCUCACCAAGGCGACGAUGCAUAGCCGACCUGAGAGGGUGAUCGGCCACAUUGGGACUGAGACACGGCCCAAACUCCUACGGGAGGCAGCAGUAGGGAAUCUUCGGCAAUGGACGAAAGUCUGACCGAGCAACGCCGCGUGAGUGAAGAAGGUUUUCGGAUCGUAAAACUCUGUUGUUAGAGAAGAACAAGGAUGAGAGUAACUGUUCAUCCCUUGACGGUAUCUAACCAGAAAGCCACGGCUAACUACUUGCCAGCAGCCGCGGUAAUACUUAGGUGGCAAGCGUUGUCCGGAUUUAUUGGGCGUAAAGCGAGCGCAGGCGGUUUCUUAAGUCUGAUGUGAAAGCCCCCGG